AGCAGCCGCGGUAAUUCCAGCUCCAAUAGCGUAUAUUAAAGUUGUUGCAGUUAAAAAGCUCGUAGUUGAAUUUCGGGAUCAACAUGUCGGUCGUGCCUCCGGUACGCACUGGCAUCGUUGAUUUCUACCUUCUGACGAACCAUGAUGUCAUUAAUUUGGUGUCAUGGGGAAUCAGGACCGUUACUUUGAAAAAAUUAGAGUGUUUAAAGCAGGUACACGCUUGAAUACAUUAGCAUGGAAUAAUGAAAUAGGACGUUUGACCCUAUUUUGUUGGUUUCUAGGAUCGACGUAAUGAUUAAUAGGGAUAGUUGGGGGCAUUAGUAUUCAAUUGUCAGAGGUGAAAUUCUUGGAUUUAUUGAAGACUAACUACUGCGAAAGCAUUUGCCAAGGAUGUUUUCAUUAAUCAAGAACGAAAGUUAGGGGAUCGAAGACGAUCAGAUACCGUCGUAGUCUUAACCAUAAACUAUGCCGACUAGGGAUCGGAUGAUGUUAAUUUUUUAAUGACUCAUUCGGCGCCG
RNAcentral lists this ribosomal RNA (518 nucleotides) under uncultured Glomus. RNAcentral's name for it is "SSU rRNA". It matches the Rfam family "Eukaryotic small subunit ribosomal RNA", at positions 569 to 1088 of the family's 1831-position model. The record is from RNAcentral. Lineage: Eukaryota; Fungi; Glomeromycota; Glomeromycetes; Glomerales; Glomeraceae.